Molecule: ribosomal RNA, 467 nt
Filed under: uncultured bacterium
Lineage: Bacteria
Description: partial 16S ribosomal RNA
Rfam family: Bacterial small subunit ribosomal RNA
Source: RNAcentral
GACGAACGCUGGCGGCGUGCUUAACACAUGCAAGUCGAACGGAAAGGCCUCUUUCGGGGGGUACUCGAGUGGCGAACGGGUGAGUAACACGUGAGUAACCUGCCCUUGACUUUGGGAUAACUUCAGUAAACUGGGGCUAAUACCGGGUAGGAGCUCCUGCUGCAUGGUGGGGGUUGGAAAGUUUCGGCGGUUGGGGAUGGACUCGCGGCUUAUCAGCUUGUUGGUGGGGUAGUGGCUUACCAAGGCUUUGACGGGUAGCCGGCCUGAGAGGGUGACCGGCCACAUUGGGACUGAGAUACGGCCCAGACUCCUACGGGAGGCAGCAGUGGGGAAUAUUGCACAAUGGGUGGAAGCCUGAUGCAGCAACGCCGUGUGCGGGAUGACGGCCUUCGGGUUGUAAACCGCUUUCGCUCAUGACGAAGCUUUGUGUGACGGUAGUGGGUAAAGAAGCACCGGCUAACUACGUG